AAGAGGGGAAAUGAAAAUAAAACAGGCCUGUCCUCUCAGGGCUCAGACACUGCCGACAACAACAAAAUAGUCACCUGGGAUAUUGUCAUCGAACAGCCCAAGCCCAGGCCUUAUUCCAAUGCAAAUUCAAUGCGCCCAGACUCCUACAUGCCCUGCCACAUCGAUGGACAUAGGCUAUUUAAACAUUGCUGUCUCGACUCGUACCCUCACCGUUUGCCUGUCAAAAUCUCCGACUAGGAAACAUGAAGCGCCAGGCCCUCUACCUUACGAGAAAAAACUAAAACCUGAGCCCUAGGACCAUACGUCAGGACUACCGGGCAUGA
This is a long non-coding RNA of Salvelinus namaycush (lake trout), 323 nucleotides long. RefSeq lists it as uncharacterized. NCBI's taxonomy places the organism in Eukaryota, Metazoa, Chordata, Actinopteri, Salmoniformes, Salmonidae. The transcript is spliced from 3 exons. The record is from RefSeq and is a predicted model, not a curated record.